UAAGAGGAGGCCUUGGAAUCUAGAACCUGGAUUUGAUAAAACACAUGUAUUGGAUAUCAAGAUUGCAUUAGGCAGUUUGGAUCUAGCUAUGGGCUAUCACGUAUUUUAUUUUUACUUUUGGCUCUAUAAUAAUAACUUUGUAAUAAAACUUGGGGAAUAUAGUAGUAAAGGGUAUUGGAGGGGUUUUUAGUCGUUUGCAUGUUAAAGGGUAGAAAUCAUGCCUAUAGGACUUUUACUACUUUAAAUCACCUAGAAAUCAUGCCUAUAGGGUUUAAUACUUUGAAUCACCUAGAUAUCAUGCAUAUAGGUUUUUACUACUUUGAAUCACUUAGAUAUCAUGUCCAUAGGCUUGCAUUCUUCUUCGUUCAAGCGUAUAGAAAUCAUGCCUAUAGGAUUGUAAAAAAUAAAAAUAAAAAAUAAAAAAGGCAAAUAAUGGAGUAACACAACUCUCGCCUGCCUGAAAUGUUUAAAAUGGCAUAAAAAUUGAAAUAGAUAUCCUUCCUAUAGGAUCUCAAGUUUGCUCAAGUUCUGAGCAUGUAAUCUGACAAUCAUCUCAAUGUUUCUCAACAGAUUCGUCCAAACCUGUCUGCGACUUCUAAACUCGUGUUUCUGUCUCUGAAAUCGCUUUUCUAAUUCUCUGAACUUUUAUUCAUAAAGUUAUUUUUAAAUAGCCUUCAAACUCUCGCCUCUUUUAUGAACACUUUACUUCUAAAACUUUGUUGUACUUUUCUUUAAACACUUUCAGCGACUUUUCAAAACUUGUCUGAACUUCUGCAGAUUUCUGCUUCUUUCAAAACUUGUCUAGGUUAGUCCUUAACUAAUGAUCCGGUAAAUACUCCAGAUCCUAACAAUUGGAUCCAAGUUUCCAGAUAUAGACCUUUUAUCUAAUUCUAUGUGUUAAAUUGAUCCGUCCGCCGCUUAAUUUUAAUUUAAUACCAAACCAGUAUGCAAGACACGCUAAACUAUAUGUUGUCUGUUUAAAGGGGUUUCUUUGAACCUUGGUUUGUCUUCUUGUUAUUUCCCCUACUUGGUAUCUAUUUGUUUGAAUGACGAGACUUUUAUCCAUUGAAACUCCAUGCAAAGCCCCCAACCCUUUUUUCCCUUUUAGGAGUAGAAGUCCUAAUACCCCAGUACUAAUAGGUUGGGGUGGGUACUAGUAUGCAAUAAGUAAAACGAGACUAAUCUCGUUUAAAUAUCUUAAUGGGGUGGGAAGGGUAGAAUAUGGAUAUGAUGACAGUUGCAUUAAUAUCUCAUGUGAGAAUGAUUGCUGGGUAUUGCACCAAAGUGAUCCAUAUUAUGUUUAACCUUAGGACCCCUUUCUUCUUUUAUGUUCUAUCUUAGAUUAAUGUUUUCAACCAAAAAUUCUCUUUUCAAAACAACAUGUGUCUUUCUUCUUUCAAAAUUUUCAACUUGCCAUGUUUCCUAUAUGCAAACUUUGCUUGUUCACGCCUACUCUUAAAGUCACAAUUAAGCGCGGCCGAAAACCACAUAGUGGAUCUUGAGGGGUGCCUAACACCUUUCCCUCGAGAUAAUCUCAAGCCCUUACGCGAACUCUGAUUUUCUUUAAAAAUCUUCUUCUCUUCUUUUGAAGUGUCCUAAUUCACUAUUAUCAUUAGAUGGCGACUCUCCAAAACCCAUAUCCCAAAUUUCCCGAAAGGGGAUAAAAGAGUCAUUCCACCCAUAAUAUCGAAACCCGCUUUUUGCGCUUAGAAAAAUGGGAGCGUUAACAGCAUGGUGACUCUGCUGGGGAUUUCUUUAAGGAUUUUACCAUUACGUGCUUUGUGACUUUAUUGCUUCCUUGAUUGCAUUUACUUUCAGUCUUUAAUUAUUUCAUCAAGAAUACUAACUUGGCUCUUCAUAUUUUUCUUUCCUUUUAAUUUCUGCUUUUACUGCUUUAUCAUUUCAAUUCUGUUGUAAUUUCCAAACAUUUAUUGUAAUCUUUAUUUUAUGAACGUGAAAAUACAUGCAAUUUGCUUCAUUACUGUAACUGUAUUUCUAAACAUCAUAUUCCACUAGUGCCAAAACAAUCCUAUAGCAACGCUUAUAAGGAGUGGUUGCACCCUUCCGAUAUUAUAACCCCUAAGUGUGGCAAAGGCAUAUUUGCGGUAAAACCAGUCGAUCAACGGUGUAGUCCACGGUUCCGCGGCUUUCCCUCUUGAGUAUUCCGCUCAAGGGUACCUUGUCUAGCACUUCAAAAAAAUAGAAACCUUAUUCCAUUAAAUUGAUCAUUCAUCAUGGUCAACCCUAGCCGAGUCAGUUAUGUUGUCGACAUAAUGACUCCUUAAGAUAGCCUAAACCGAAGUCCAUCGGGUUUCCUCUAAACCCAAACGGACACCUCCAUGUUAUGUGCAUUUAUUUGGAGAACUAAAUGCCUUUUACUAAUUAUUGAUUUAAAUAGUCGAGUUUGGUGGGGUUAAGGGCCUAACACUUUGCAGAAAAUGAGAAUCGAAGUCCCCAGAUUCGGUAUGGUAUCCAACAUUCACCCGAGGUCGCUAAGCUGGUGGGAAGAUCUUCAUGCCAUCGAUCAAACCCUCAUCGGCAAGUACUUAGGGAAUUUUCCCUCACUUCUGGAAAUCCAACCUAACAACAAAAUCAUAGAGGCCGCCACUUUGUUC
Molecule: long non-coding RNA, 2615 nt
Filed under: Nicotiana benthamiana
Lineage: Eukaryota; Viridiplantae; Streptophyta; Magnoliopsida; Solanales; Solanaceae
Description: long non-coding RNA (NBEN_LNC030889)
Source: RNAcentral